GGAAUAUUGGGCAAUGGAGGAAACUCUGACCCAGCAAUGCCGCGUGAAUGAAGAAGGUCUUCGGAUUGUAAAGUUCUUUAGUCAGGGAAGAAAAAAAUGACGGUACCCGGAGAAUAAGCAUCGGCUAACUCCGUGCCAGCAGCCGCGGUAAUACGGAGGAUGCGAGCGUUAUCCGGAUUUAUUGGGUUUAAAGGGUGCGUAGGCGGUUACUUAAGUCAGCGGUCAAAUGGCGGGGCUCAACCCCGUCCAGCCGUUGAAACUGGGUAGCUUGAGUCGGCGAGAAGUACGCGGAAUGCGCGGUGUAGCGGUGAAAUGCAUAGAUAUCGCGCAGAACUCCGAUUGCGAAGGCAGCGUACCGGCGCCGCACUGACGCUGAGGCACGAAAGCGUGGGUAUCGAACAG
RNAcentral lists this ribosomal RNA (402 nucleotides) under uncultured bacterium. RNAcentral's name for it is "bacterial SSU rRNA". It matches the Rfam family "Bacterial small subunit ribosomal RNA", at positions 358 to 775 of the family's 1533-position model. The record is from RNAcentral.